AAAAAAAAAAAAAAACAUAUUUAUUAUAGAUAACUUUAUUAUAUUGCUUACUAUUGUCCAAAGAAGUAAUUAAACUACAAAAGAAAAGUAUAUAAUUACAUAUUAAUUAAUAAUUAAAACUUUGUAAAAUAAAACAUAUUAAUAAAUAAUUUAAAAAUAUACAUAUUUUUAAUUAUUAAUUUUUAUUUAAAUUUAAAAUUUAUAUUUUAGGAUUUUAUUUUUUUUAUUGAUAUUAAAUACACACACAUAAAUAUGGUUUUUUUGUUUUUGCAUAUGUCAAGUCUUGUUUUUAUAUUAUAAGAAGUUUAAAUUGUAUUGUAUUAAUUUGCAUGUCUUCUUCUUUUGACAAUAUAGUUUUUAAAAUUUUGAUUGCUAAUAUAAAGUUAUAAAAUAAUUAUGACAUACUAGUACAUGCUUCUAAAUAGAUUUCAAAAGAAACAAUUUUUACACUCAACAACAAAUUCAGCUUGUUAAUUAAAUGCUUGAGAUUAUAUAAUUGAAUAGUAAUUAUUUUACUUAUUAUUCUAAUCUACAAUCAAUCUAAUUAGUUACUAAAUCAUCGUUUUACUUAAUAUAAAUUAGUAAUUAUCAAAAUUGUAAAACAAGCAUUAAUAGAAAAUAUAUAUUUUUUCUCCUUAAAUAUAUUUUUUAUAUAAAAGAUUAUAUUUUUUUUCCUUAAAAGAUUGGAAUAUCACUAGUUUCUACUUAAAUUGCAUUAUGUUCUCCAAGUAACUUUGAUUGGGCCAAAAAUAAAGUUGAAUAUUCUUAAAAAAUCAAAUAAUUAUAUAAAUAGAUAAAAAGAUAAAAAAAAAAAUCUAAUUUUAUACAAAAAUUAACUAUUUGGUGAAAUUAUUAUGGCAUUGCACUAUUUUAUAAGGUAUCCUAAAUGUGUUAUAAUCAUAUGGAGGCAAAGAUAAGGCCAUUUUUAAUCGUGUUGAAGAUUUUUUGUAUUUUAGAUUUAGUUCAAGUCUCUCUAGGUCUUUGUACCUAAAAAUAUUCAUUCUAAUAUCUUCUUAAUUUAUAAAUAUCUAUCUUCUUCACUCUAUUCUUCCUUCUUAGUUGUAUAUAAUUAUACAUUUUUUGACCAACUUGUUAAGAUUUGUAUAAUAUUUAUUAGUUCAUUUAUAAAAUUAUUUAUAUUUUUUACUUUCAAAUCUUUUUAUAAUUUUUAGUAUCUUUACUUUUACUUUGGAGUAUUUCUCUACGUUUUCAUUCAUAAUUAUUUCUUUUACUAAUUCAUUUCGGUGCUCUAUUUUGAGAUUAUUAAUUCAUAAAAUCAAACUUCUAAAUGUAGUCUUUAAUCCUUUAAACAUGCUUACAGUUGGUUAAUUAAUUUAAUUUGACACCUGAACCAUGACAUGAAGGGGGACAGAGCCUCGCAGUUAUGGUCGAGAUUAUUUUUGUUCAUACAGUGGUACCAAAUUAUAUUCAAAUAAGAGAUCAUUGAGGGAUCUUCUCUGUUGCACAUUUGGAGGUCAAUACAAGUUGGUGCCAGUGGUCUUCCAGUUGGCAACACAGACAAUUAUGAUACACACCUCAUGUUUCAGUGUCUAAUAUGAAUUGAAUUAUUGCAACUGCAAAGAAGUUGAGUAGAAAAGGUUCUUCUGUCGGUGGUAGCGGUGCACAGAAAAGCAGCUCCACAAAUUGGACAGUGUUUUGUUGACCGAAGAUGCUAAUUUUGAAUGCUGGUGACAUGUGCAUACUACAUAUAUUAGAGUUCAGACAAUGGGCAUUGAUCAUUGCCUGACUCCGACAUAUCUCGAAAGAUGAAAACGUAAUCCUCGACUAAACAUUUUCGCUACCCCUUUUUACUGUUGUGGUCAAUGCCAUGGGCAAUGAUCCUGCAUUUGGCUGACAGACAUAACUGCUGUGUUCUGUCGGAUUGUAGUUAUGUCGAGUUGUGUCGAUCCCAAGGCGUUGCCACAAGGAGGAUCAUGGCUUCAAACCAUUUAAUGCUGUAUUAUUGCUGACACUUUCCACGUCCCAAUAUUGCACGAAGGAAACAGCUUCAUUGACGUUCAUGGGGGUCCUUACAAUUUCAUAGGAUUCAGAUACUGUUGCAAGCAUUCCAAGUGAUGCAAGGCUCCUUCGGACAAUAUAUUUUAGUUGCAGGUGUAGGUGAAUUAUUCCAGGAUGGAAAAUAGCAGAUUUUCUCACAAGUGCAGCAGUUCUGCUUCGUUAUGCUAAUAUUCGGUGGCUGGGUGAACCGCCAUCAAUGAUAGUUCCACGUCACUGUUGUUAAUCAUUCGCAUAGCGCACAUUCGCAGAGACGAUUCACAAGCGAUGAGAGCAUACUGGAAAAAUCAAGUCUAAGGAGAUUCAACAAAAUUAGGACCAGUGCUUUUAAUUCCGACAAAAUAAGAACAGAAAAGUAUAACAAGAUAGACCAAAAAAAGGAAGAUUUGACAAAAAUUACCACCUACGGAUGCCGUUUAACUGCAGGCAUGGACUGAGAAGUAGAGCCAGUUUGGAAAGUUAUCAAAUAAAUGAAAAACAGAGUUAAAAGCCAUGACAGAAUCAAAGACUAUACCAUUUGAUGUCACAAUAAAAAUCACUUACACCCAAUGAAUGCUAACCUGGGGUCAACAAGAUUUAACAGUUUCCCCUAUUUGUAUGUAACACUAUACUUUGGGCACCACCUACAGGCUAACCUAAAUGUUCAGGGGCUCAGCUUCACUUUCUUUUUCAGUCGCCCACGUCUCCACUGACCCUGCAUAACAUGAAACAGGGUCUCGUUACGACUUAUCUCAGUGCGUCACAAAUAGUCGUACUAUCUUUAUUUUACUAGUUUCUGUGAGGAAUGUAACAUAUACGCAAGUAAACAAACGGUUCCAAAAUAAUGUGAGGUGGGUAGGGCGAAUCCAACUCACUGCUCCUGUGCUUAUCGGAGACCAUCAAGAGACGCCGCUGCAAGAUACCCGCCACUGCCAAAAAUAUUGCGCACAUUCCAAACAUCACACUGAUUGGGAAUGCACUGACCUGAAAUGUUUAGCAACAAACCAAAAGAGAAGUCAGACAGCUUGCUGCUUUAAUAAUUUCAAACUCGGCGAUUCCAUGAAUCUCCAAAUUUGUUCUACCAAGGAUAAAGAAAAGAGUCGUGAAGAUCCACCAGGGAAAGCAUGACUUACAUUGUAUAAUACAACACAGACGAAAACGUUUAAAGGGAUGCGGAAAAAGUUCAUGAUUGUGCUUCUCGACUCCUCAGGGAUAUACUGGGACCUCAUUUUCAUGAUAGAGGGCCAGAACACUCCCACACACAUUUCAAAAAUACAGAAACCAAGUAGGUUUAGUCGCCCCCCAGCGGUAAUGCUAUCAGAGGGUGAGUCUGGCAAAAAGAACUGCAACAAAACCACAAAAAAUAACCCCGAAAUCACGUGUUAAAUCAAGUAAACAGAUGAUAGUGUUAGUGCUCACUCCUUUUGUCUCUAAAAACGGUCUGUAUCAGUGCUACACAACCCUAUUGCACUUAUUGACUAUAGAUUUUCGCAACCAAAAUUCAGGGAGUAAGGUUACCAAAGAUUACUACUACUUGCUUAAACUAACCAAGUAUCAUUCAAAUUACAGCGACUACUUACAGCCAUCAGCAUUGCCAAUAUCAUAAGCUAGGAGAAUGAACUCACUUGGAUGAUAACUGGAAGGCAGAGGGAACCCGAAGCGACGGCAAACACGACCUGCAUAUAGCUCUCCACCCUCAAGUGUGAACGUGACAUGAGACGAGAUGCCAAGGAGCUGCCUAACAUAGAGGCAAGCAUGAAGGUAGCAAAAAUAAAGCCGAAUGGGAUUUUCUGAUCGUUGGGGCUCAAGGCUGGUGUCCAGAGGAACACAAAUGUGUACAUGGAGCCCUCAAACAAAGACUGGAUGGCACCCAAAAGGGCUAUCUUCUCAUCUGCGAAUUCAGUGACACAAUCACAACCCAGCAUCGUGACUUACUUUGGCUGAUCUCAAAUCCUCCAUCUCAGUACCAAACGAGCACACAUUAAUUUGAAACUUUCAGAACUAUGUUUGGUCGUAAGUAUGAAUCAGUCAGAGCUUGAAAUAUGUCUACAACUCAUCAAUCUUACCAGAAGCAAUAGCUGAAGCUGCCUGCGUAAAUUGAUGCGUGAAGCUUUUGCCUUCCGUCUGAUCUCCAUAGUUCUCCGGCCAAAAAGAGAUAAUAAUGGCCAUGCCAACGGCCAGAACACAAGCUGCAGCGUCGAAGGGAGAGACAGGGCCUAAGCCAAAUGUACCCGCUAAAGUGUUUGCCACUAGCCCAGCUAGAAUAGCAAUCAGCCCAUUGCCCAAGAAUAUAGCCUUGGAGAAAGUGAGUGAUAACCACUGCGCCUCAAAGCCCCUCUACAUCCAUGACGUGCAAAAGGACGCCGUUAGUGUAUCCUAAAGAUUCGUCUUAAUGACAGCAGUGUAAAAUAACCCCCAAAUAUGAACUCACUUCAUGACUAUACUUGAUACAUCGCAAACAUAACCUAAAAGUGUAGGUAGUUUAGCUACCUUAAAAUGCUCAGCCACGAGCCAUGACUCAAAUGAUGAGAAAAGCAGUGACGUGGCGAUACCUCCCAACACACGUCCCAACAUCAACACUCUGUAUGCUGGAGAAUGCUUCGUGAAACAACUCAGAAUAUAUGUGAUACAGUAGAUGACACUCAUCCUCUUGCGCCCACUAUAAGCAAAAGUUCGAAGCGUCAGAAACAUCAUAAAAUCACUUGAAGUGAAGAAUUAAACCAGAUCUGAUGUGACUGUUUGGACAUGACAAAGAUGGUACUCUACCAGGUAAUUGAGAGUUCCGCGAUAAACCGAAAGAGCCUAAUUGUUUGGCAAGUUCAGUGAGUACGCAUGAAUAAAAAAUACUUUAAUCAAGUAAGCCUUUCAAUGUUCUCAAGUCAGCCACGAAAAUGAUGGGAGCAAGGAAAAUAGACCACUCCUGAGAUGCAAACAUGGGCAUAAACACACGUACUAUCGAUCGGCAAGAGAUCCGACAACAGUCCCGAAGAUCAUCGAGGAUCCAAAUCCAGCUAUGAACAGCUUUCCAAUGUCACCCUUGUUGUAUCCAUAAAAGACAUAGAGAGCGUACACAUAUGGUCCCUGCAGCCAGUCUCCCGCUGCAAACAUGAACAACAACUUUGAGAUUCUUGAAGUUUAGGAAGCAAUCACAUCUUUCACUAAGCAUGACUUGUUGGUCUGGAGGGAAAUGCUAACCAAAAAAUGAUAUGACGAAUUAACUUGAGCUAAUACCCACUGAAAUGAUAAGACAUACACCAAAUACGAGGCAAAAAGAAAAUAGAAAGAAAAAAAAUACAUUAGACUCAGCAUAGACAGUGCAUCGAAAAACUCCCCUGGGUAGAACAGAUUUAUCGACAAUUAAAAUACAAGUUAAAAGACAAGAAGAGAAUAAAAUUACAAUCAGCUGAUUAAACAAUCUUCAGACGCAAAAUCUUAAGUGCAGUAGACAGCAUUCCAAGACGAUCUCCGAACAUAGCCCCAUGCGGUAGGCCGCAACCAGAGGUGAGCUACAGCGACAAUCAAAUGCCUCACGACCCUUAGCUACGACGUCUACCGUGUAAAUGAACUAAAUCCGCAAUGCAUGUUGAUGUGUGGAAAUAACAAGACCUAUAAGCAUCACGACUAAGCAGAAUCCAAUUUUCAGGGCAUUCCAUGAUACAGCGAAACAAGCUACUCAAGAACGAGAUGCGAUUCAGUUACUAAAAAUAAAAGGACCACACCAUCAGUGACUUGAGGAAAUGACAGAAAGUCAUUCACUCAAAUACGAAUGUAAUAGAAAGACGCGAUACGUAAACCCACUGUCUACGGAUCGCAGUUGAAUAUUCUUGAUCGCAUCAGCUCAAACACGUACAGUCGAUAAACUUUUUUUUUAUACAAAAAGAAGAAAAAAGGAGUGAGGGAGGGGACUUUUUAAAAUAUUUUA
RNAcentral lists this long non-coding RNA (5917 nucleotides) under Physcomitrium patens. Its description in RNAcentral is "long non-coding RNA (PPAT_LNC005217)". The record is from RNAcentral. Lineage: Eukaryota; Viridiplantae; Streptophyta; Bryopsida; Funariales; Funariaceae.